GACGAACGCUGGCGGCGUGCUUAACACAUGCAAGUCGAACGGAAAGGCCCUGCUUUUGUGGGGUGCUCGAGUGGCGAACGGGUGAGUAACACGUGAGUAACCUGCCCUUGACUUUGGGAUAACUUCAGGAAACUGGGGCUAAUACCGGAUAGGAGCUCCUGCUGCAUGGUGGGGGUUGGAAAGUUUCGGCGGUUGGGGAUGGACUCGCGGCUUAUCAGCUUGUUGGUGGGGUAGUGGCUUACCAAGGCUUUGACGGGUAGCCGGCCUGAGAGGGUGACCGGCCACAUGGGGACUGAGAUACGGCCCAGACUCAUACGGGAGGCAGGAGUGGGGAAUAUUGCACAAUGGGCGGAAGCCUGAUGCAGCAACGCCGCGUGCGGGAUGACGGCCUUCGGGUGGUAAACCGCUUUCGCCUGUGACGAAGCGUGAGUGACGGUAAUGGGUAAAGAAGCACCGGCUAACUACGU
This 467-nucleotide ribosomal RNA is filed under the name uncultured bacterium. RNAcentral describes it as "partial 16S ribosomal RNA". It matches the Rfam family "Bacterial small subunit ribosomal RNA", at positions 28 to 506 of the family's 1533-position model. The record is from RNAcentral.